Mobula hypostoma (lesser devil ray) is the source of this 324-nucleotide long non-coding RNA. RefSeq lists it as uncharacterized. Lineage: Eukaryota; Metazoa; Chordata; Chondrichthyes; Myliobatiformes; Myliobatidae. The record is from RefSeq and is a predicted model, not a curated record. The transcript is spliced from 3 exons.
GAGACCCAGAGGCCUGUUCUGGGUUUGGAGUGCUGACUAUCUGUGCGGAUCGAUGAAGAAUGAACAUAACCAGUGGAGGGAAGUAUAUGAAGGAAAUAGUAUUCUCUCCAAUGCACAAGUUGUUAAAUCAAUAAUUUGGCUGAUGUCAAGCCCUAAAUAAACCAGACCUGAACAUCACAGCCAAGCAGAAUGAAAAUCAAAUCGGAUAAGAGACGGAUGCUGCCUGACCUACUGAGUAUCCCCAGCAUUUUUCUGUUUCAAUUACACAUCCAUUGAUGAUUUUGGACACUGGAUUUAGGCAAAGCUGAAAUAAAUCAAACUCAU